GGGGGGCAUGUGGCUUAUUCGACGCAACGCGAAGAACCUUACCAAGGCUUGACAUACACCGGAAAGCGCCAGAGAUGGUGCCCCCCUUGUGGUCGGUGUACAGGUGGUGCAUGGCUGUCGUCAGCUCGUGUCGUGAGAUGUUGGGUUAAGUCCCGCAACGAGCGCAACCCUUGUUCUGUGUUGCCAGCAUGCCCUUCGGGGUGAUGGGGACUCACAGGAGACUGCCGGGGUCACUUCGGAGGAAGA
This 246-nucleotide ribosomal RNA is filed under the name Streptomyces gelaticus. RNAcentral describes it as "partial 16S ribosomal RNA". It matches the Rfam family "Bacterial small subunit ribosomal RNA", at positions 932 to 1173 of the family's 1533-position model. Lineage: Bacteria; Bacillati; Actinomycetota; Actinomycetes; Kitasatosporales; Streptomycetaceae. The record is from RNAcentral.